AGAUUAAGCCAUGCAUGUGUCAGUACAAGCUAAAUCAAAGUGAAACCGCAAAUGGCUCAUUAAAUCAGCUAUGAUUCAUUGGAUCUGUACACCCAGUUUUCCUUGGAUAACUGUGGUAAUUCUAGAGCUAAUACAUGCACCUAGUCCCUGACCUCACGGGAAGGGCGCUUUUAUUAGAAUCCAAACCGGUCGGGCUUCGGUCUGUCAAACCAGUUGUGGUGACUCUGGAUAACUUAAGCUGAGCGCACGGUCUUUGCACUGGCGCCGCUUCUUUCAAGUGUCUGCCUUAUCAGCUUUCGAUUGUAGGUUAUGUGCCUACAAUGGCUAUAACGGGUAACGGGGAAUCAGGGUUCGAUUCCGGAGAGGGAGCCUGAGAAACGGCUACCACAUCCAAGGAAGGCAGCAGGCGCGCAAAUUACCCACUCCCAGCUCGGGGAGGUAGUGACGAAAAAUAACGAUGCGAGACUCAUCCGAGGCCUCGCAAUCGGAAUGAGUACACUUUAAAUCCUUUAGCGAGGAUCGAUUGGAGGGCAAGUCUGGUGCCAGCAGCCGCGGUAAUUCCAGCUCCAAUAGCAUAUAUUAAAGUUGUUGCGGUUAAAAAGCUCGUAGUUGGAUUUCGGGAUCGGACUGAAGGUUAGCCGUGAGGCGUUUAAAACCUUUCAAGUUCCGUGACGAGCUAUCGCAAACAACUUUGUGUAUGCACAGGCUAGCUCACAUGGGAUGCUCUUAAUCGAGUGUCCUGCGUGGCUGGUAUGUUUACUUUGAAAAAAUUAGAGUGCUCAGAGCAGGCCAACUGAAUGGCCUGAAUGACUAUGCAUGGAAUAAUAAAAAAGGACCUCGGUUCUAUUUUGUCCGGGCUUUUGGUGGAACCCGAGGUAAUGACUAAGAGAGACUAAUGGGGGCAUUAGUACUGCGACGCUAGAGUGAAUUCUUGGACCGUCGCAGACAGAGUUUCAUUAAUCAAGAACGAAAGUUAGAGGUUCGAAGGCGAUCAGAUACCGCCCUAGUUCUAACCAUAAACGAUGCUGACCAGCGAUCCGCCGGUGUUAUAACCAUGACUCGGCGGGCAGCUUUCCGGGAAACCAAAGUCUUUGAGUUCCGGGGGAAGUAUGGUUGCAAAGUUGAAACUUAAAGGAAUUGACGGAAGGGCACCACCAGGAGUGGAGCCUGCGGCUUAAUUUGACUCAACACGGGAAACCUCACCAGGCCCAGACACUGGAAGGAUUGACAGAUUGAGAGCUCUUUCUCGAUUCAGUGGGUGGUGGUGCAUGGCCGUUCUUAGUUGGUGGAGUGAUUUGUCUGGUUAAUUCCGAUAACGAACGAGACUCUGGCCUAUUAACUAGUCGACGGAUUUCCAUGAAUUGGUGUCCAGUUCGCAACUUCUUCUUAGAGGGAUAAGCGGUAGUCCUAGCCGCACGAGAUUGAGCAAUAACAGGUCUGUGAUGCCCUUAGAUGUUCUGGGCCGCACGCGCGCUACACUGAACAGAUCAGCGUGUUUUCCCUCUCCGAGAGGAGCGGGUAACCCAUUGAAAGCUGUUCUUGAUAGGGAUUGGGGCUUGCAAUUGUUUCCCAUGAACGAGGAAUUCCCAGUAAGCGCAAAUCAUUAGUUUGCGUUGAUUAAGUCCCUGCCCUUUGUACACACCGCCCGUCGCUACUACCGAUUGAAUGAUUUAGUGAGGCCUUCGGACUGGCACUCUUGGAUUCUCUGGCUAUAUGCCUUGUUCCUCGAGUUGACGGAAAGAUGUCCAAACUUGAUCAUUUAGAGGAAGUAAAAGUCGUAACAAGGUUUCC
Molecule: ribosomal RNA, 1791 nt
Filed under: Trapezionida sp. 2 AM-2022b
Lineage: Eukaryota; Metazoa; Arthropoda; Malacostraca; Decapoda; Munididae
Description: SSU rRNA
Rfam family: Eukaryotic small subunit ribosomal RNA
Source: RNAcentral